RNAcentral lists this ribosomal RNA (204 nucleotides) under uncultured bacterium. Its description in RNAcentral is "partial 16S ribosomal RNA". It matches the Rfam family "Bacterial small subunit ribosomal RNA", at positions 568 to 774 of the family's 1533-position model. The record is from RNAcentral.
AGCGCAGGUGGUUUCUUAAGUCUGAUGUAAAAGGCAGUGGCUCAACCAUUGUGUGCAUUGGAAACUGGGAGACUUGAGUGCAGGAGAGGAGAGUGGAAUUCCAUGUGUAGCGGUGAAAUGCGUAGAUAUAUGGAGGAACACCGGAGGCGAAAGCGGCUCUCUGGCCUGUAACUGACACUGAGGCUCGAAAGCUGGGAGCAAACA